CCAUUCAUCUACAGGGGCUCC
RNAcentral lists this non-coding RNA (21 nucleotides) under Rattus norvegicus (Norway rat). Lineage: Eukaryota; Metazoa; Chordata; Mammalia; Rodentia; Muridae. The record is from RNAcentral.